GGAAGUAAAAAGUCGUAACAAGGUUUCCGUAGGUGAACGCGGAAGGAUCAUUAC
This 54-nucleotide ribosomal RNA is filed under the name Amanita flavoconia. Its description in RNAcentral is "18S ribosomal RNA". The record is from RNAcentral. Lineage: Eukaryota; Fungi; Basidiomycota; Agaricomycetes; Agaricales; Amanitaceae.